AGAGUUUGAUCCUGGCUCAGAUUGAACGCUGGCGGCAGGCCUAACACAUGCAAGUCGAACGGUAACAGGAAGAAGCUUGCUUCUUUGCUGACGAGUGGCGGACGGGUGAGUAAUGUCUGGGAAACUGCCUGAUGGAGGGGGAUAACUACUGGAAACGGUAGCUAAUACCGCAUAACGUCGCAAGACCAAAAAGGGGGACCUUCGGGCCUCUUGCCAUCGGAUGUGCCCAGAUGGGAUUAGCUAGUAGGUGGGGUAACGGCUCACCUAGGCGACGAUCCCUAGCUGGUCUGAGAGGAUGACCAGCCACACUGGAACUGAGACACGGUCCAGACUCCUACGGGAGGCAGCAGUGGGGAAUAUUGCACAAUGGGCGCAAGCCUGAUGCAGCCAUGCUGCGUGUAUGAAGAAGGCCUUCGGGUUGUAAAGUACUUUCAGCGGGGAGGAAGGGAGUAAAGUUAAUACCUUUGCUCAUUGACGUUACCCGCAGAAGAAGCACCGGCUAACUCCGUGCCAGCAGCCGCGGUAAUACGGAGGGUGCAAGCGUUAAUCGGAAUUACUGGGCGUAAAGCGCACGCAGGCGGUUUGUUAAGUCAGAUGUGAAAUCCCCGGGCUCAACCUGGGAACUGCAUCUGAUACUGGCAAGCUUGAGUCUCGUAGAGGGGGGUAGAAUUCCAGGUGUAGCGGUGAAAUGCGUAG
RNAcentral lists this ribosomal RNA (696 nucleotides) under uncultured bacterium. RNAcentral describes it as "bacterial SSU rRNA". It matches the Rfam family "Bacterial small subunit ribosomal RNA", at positions 8 to 693 of the family's 1533-position model. The record is from RNAcentral.